AAUCUUCAUUUGCAGUUGCCUUUUCAUUUUCUCAUUAUUUUCCUGCAUACAUAUGGUGUGAAAUGAUAACAAGAUUUUUCUUUCUCAUUUUCUGUUUUUAUUAAAUGGAAACGCAUGCCUGUUUUUUGAAUGUUGUGUGAGGUAAUUUCAAUCUGGUGAAAUUUUUCCAUGAACCCAGCUUUUUAAAAAAUAAAAAUUCUUUUUUUAUUACUGCCAAAGAGGAUUCUGCUCUGGCUUAACCAGCAAAAUAGAGGCAUGUGUUUUAGUUUAAUCAUUUUCAUUAUCCACUAAAGGAUAAGUUGUGCAAUGUGAUGAAUAAGACUUUUCUUUCUCAAUGUGGAGAGGAAAGAAAGUUUAAACUUUUUAUUUUAUUUGCAUGAUUUGAUGGAGGAUUUAACUUGAAAAACUGUGAUUGAAGAAAACCUUGAAGAUUGCAGAGCUUUAGUGUUUUUGAUGGGAUUUAGGGUUAGGGAUGGAAGUCUGAGAAAUUAGGUUUAUUAGGGAUGUGUUUUUAGAAUAAUUAGGGUGUAGAAAUAAAAAAUGAAUGGUAAUCCAAAUUACUAUAGCAAUAAGAAAAGAGGAGAAAACUUCAGAGCCUUCAAACUGAAUGCAUAUUAUUUAUAAUAAAUUUCAACAUCAAAACUAUACAGAAAGUUACAUUAAAAUAAUUUUCCAAGCAAACCGUAAUUCCAGAAUGGUAUUAAGAUUCCGAAGAAGACAAAUUUCUUAAUAGACUGGGGUCUCAAUCUAAAACUAUAAAGAAAAUUACAUUAAAAUUAUUUAUUGAUUUCUUUUUUCCUUGGCUGCUACGUGUUGAAUAAGGCUGCUGUAUCCAAAUAACAGGGGGUUGGCAUGUGGUUCAUGAAGCUUUAAACUCUUAAUCUCUCUGCACAGUGAUAGUGAUCAUGAUCUGCCACGCACAAGAGGCCUUGUUUAGCUUUAUUGCCUAAUGUUUGUGUUAUGUGCUUUAAAGUAGCAAUACCCACAACUUUUUAGCUUCGUCCAGUGGCAUGGAAAUUUCUGAAUAGGCUGUCCAGUGUUUUUGGUGAAAAAUGGGUGGUGCCAAGCAGAAUGAGGGAUAUCCGCACACAUUUUCUUGGCUUUGAGAGAGGGAAGUAUAGUAAUAUCUUUUGGCAUGUGAUAUCUUUGCAGUGAUUUGGAGUAUUUUGAGCAGAAUGGAACUUUUGAAUCUUCUAGUUUACUACCUUUGCAAGCAGUU
Populus euphratica (Euphrates poplar) is the source of this 1219-nucleotide long non-coding RNA. RefSeq lists it as uncharacterized. The transcript is spliced from 2 exons. NCBI's taxonomy places the organism in Eukaryota, Viridiplantae, Streptophyta, Magnoliopsida, Malpighiales, Salicaceae. The record is from RefSeq and is a predicted model, not a curated record.